This 29-nucleotide non-coding RNA is filed under the name Rattus norvegicus (Norway rat). The record is from RNAcentral. Lineage: Eukaryota; Metazoa; Chordata; Mammalia; Rodentia; Muridae.
UUACUUAUUCAAAAGUCAAAGCCAGUGGA